CCUACGGGAGGCAGCAGUGGGGAAUCUUGCACAAUGGAGGAAACUCUGAUGCAGCGAUGCCGCGUGAGUGAAGAAGGCCUUUGGGUUGUAAAGCUCUUUUGUAGGGGAAGAUAAUGACUGUACCCUAAGAAUAAGGUCCGGCUAACUUCGUGCCAGCAGCCGCGGUAAUACGAAGGGACCUAGCGUAGUUCGGAAUUACUGGGCGUAAAGCGCGCGUAGGCCGUUGAGUUAGUUAAUUGUGAAAUCCCAAAGCUUAACUUUGGAACUGCAAUUAAAACUGCUCGACUAGAGUUUGAUAGAGGAAAGCGGAAUACAUAGUGUAGAGGUGAAAUUCGGUAGAUAUUAUGUAGAACACCAGUUAGCGAAGGCGGCUUUCUGGAAUCAACACUGACGCUGAGGCGCGAAAGUAUGGGUAGCAAAGAGGAUUAGAUACCCUCGUAGUCCGUACCAUAAACGAUGAUUGCUAGAUGUUGGAAACUUUAUUUCAGUAUCGCAGCUAACGCAUUAAGCAAUCCGCCUGGGGAGUACGACCGCAAGGUUAAAACUUAAAGUAGUAUGACGNGNGAGAGACGACGACGACGACGAGAGGAG
RNAcentral lists this ribosomal RNA (591 nucleotides) under uncultured bacterium. RNAcentral describes it as "bacterial SSU rRNA". It matches the Rfam family "Bacterial small subunit ribosomal RNA", at positions 338 to 944 of the family's 1533-position model. The record is from RNAcentral.